CCAAACUGCAAAGAAGACUCUGCAACCAGCCCAGCUGCCUGGUGGAAGCAGAAAUGAGCCAAGCUGCCCAGAAGAGGUUUAGACAAUUGAGGCACCUGGAAAGGCCACUCCCCAGGCUGUUCGGCUCUCUGCGGGCUGUGCAGUGAGCUCCAGGUUCCCAGCUUUUGUGAGCUGUCACCCAUGCUGGGGUAGACCUUGGAGAUGCAGCUGUCUCUGGGUUGUUCCUGUUCCUUGACCAUAGUGUAUGCAAUUAGUGAGCAAGAUGCAGUCAGAGGGGGAAUUCUUUUCUGCCAACUUCUCAGCUUUGCGGACUCUGAAAAAGCUAGUUAACGUUGGAGAAUCUUGGUUUUCACAUCUGAAAAAAUGAGGAAUAUAAGAGAGAGGAUUGAGAGAGGUGAGUCAGCAGUAAGUGACCAAACAUUGCCAACUGUCAACAUUAUCACUUACUACGCACCUGAGACUGCCCCUGUUUUAUUAGAUGUUUUCAAACAAUGUGCCAAACAAGACACAUAUUCAGACCAUGCCAGGAUGUGUGGUUGUAGCAUUAUUUCUUAUCUACUCUGUAUAUCAUCCUGAACUAUCAGUUACUUUUCUAAUGACUGUGACCAAAUACCUGACAAGCCGCAACUUAAGAAAAGGAGGGUUUAUUUUGGCUCACAGUUUGCAGGGGGUUCAUUUCCCCUCGGGAAAAUGGAAACGUUAUUCUGAGGACUUGCAGGUGUUUGAUAUCAAGUUUUGUUGUUUUGGCAGUGGGUCAAAUAUCAAGACUCCUUCUUGCAGUUGAGGUGGCUGACUGUUACCAGGACCAAAACAAACACGCUUUGGGAGGGGCUUACUUAAUCAGUAAGUUCAAGGUGGAAAUGACCUUACCAUCUGCUUGAUGCAAAAGUUUAUUGUUGUGAUCAGCAUGGUGUUCACCUCACUUUGCACCGUGCCCUGUCCCUUGGCAUGACCUCCUACAUCAUGUGCCACAUGCUCACAGGAUGGCUUUAGUAGCUCUAGAAGGACAUAAUUACUGACGCUCUCUUUUCAGAACUCCUAGCCAACGUCUCAUUGCUUUGAUGAGGUCAUCGUUCCGUCUCUAAGCCAAACCAGGGUGAUGCUGGAUAUAACUAUGACUUAAGCUUAGCAACAUGUUUUGCUUUGCUUCAAAAGCCAGUGGUUUAGCAGUUACCAAAGCAGAUAUCCACGAUAAAUAUCAACAUUGGCCUCAUUCUACAUAGUGAGCAUUAGGUGUCGGGUAGCUCGCUGUGUCCCCACACUGUUUCAUUCAUUCGGAAGACACACUGAGGACCUGACACAGUAAAUCAAAGCAAACAUAGCCUCUGCUCGUAGAGAGGGGUAAUAUACCAUGAGUUAGGUAUUACUAUCUGCAUUUUAGGAUAACUGAUACUUCCAAAUGUCACUUCAGUUAUCCACCAUGUUUUUGUCGCUGAAUGAUAAACAGAAAUUCAAAUACAAGGCAGGUUGAAUGUGGGGAAUUCGGAGAAUAAGCUACCCAAGACUAAUCUGUUUCUCUGUGACCACAGGGUCCCAUCGUGAUGACAUCACAUGAUAAAGAAGAGAGACAGAGUGCGGAAGUUGUGGGGCACCAUUCCAUGUCAAUGGGUCGCUAUUAAUUCUGUUGGGUUCUUCGUGAGAAAUGACCACAAACCGACCAGCUGUUUGGUGGGGGUGUAUUUUUACUUAAUCUUAUUUCUUCUCAAUACUUUAUAGCUCCCAAUUUGGUCUCAGAUAUUUGGGCCUUGGAGAGUAACUUUUUGGAGUGACUUUAUGGAGGCCAGUGACAACUCCAUUGACGCCUUUGGCCAACCUCAGGAAACAGCAGCUAAGAGAGGAUGAAGAAUGCCCCAAAUCACGCCUGGAAGGAGAGCUAAAACCUGGCUUUGAAGCACUUGGUUUAGAUCUGCUACUUGCGUCUCCCGCUCCUGUCAUGUUUUGUGAUUUCUUUUGGCAUUUAUUUACCAAUUUUCUUUAGUCUAUGCUCAUUUUUAGCAGCAACAUUUGUCACAUGUGUAAUUGAGAAUGCAUGUUUUUCCCAAAGUACAUUCAAAUAAAUAUAAAACUAGGUCCAGGGAUGUAACUCAGUUGAUAAAAGGCUUGCUUAUCUCACAUACACAGAGGCCUGAAUUUGAUCCCCAAGAGCUGCAGAAAAAACACAUGCUUAUCAUCCAGUACUCAUGAGGAGAGAGAUGGAAGACUAGAAGUUAAAGGCCAUUUUUGCUACAUUGUAAGUUUGAGGUCAGUCUAGGAUGUAUGAUAUCCUAUGUUGGUAUGUACAAUCAUGCAUACAUUCAUACAUACAUAUACUUAAAAUUUGAAACUCCACUUGUCAGCCCUUUGUAAAUAUCAAACACCAAGCCUCUGAGAAGUCUGGUCUAUGCCUGGGACAUGUUUUAUCAGCUAGUUGGCCACAAGAACCAAGGCAAACAGAUAAUGUUCUUGAAAAACAUUUUUGUUGUUCAGAAGAAGGGGAAGGGUCCACGGAAUGGGGAUGUAGUCAUUUUCAGUUCCCCAGGUGUGGCCCCGAUGUCAGAGUCUCACCCUGCCCCGAACUCACUUCCUGCCAAGGCUUGGGAGGGAGAUAGUCCUGCCAUUUGAAGGCUAAUUGAACUUUUCAAGCCUUGCUAAGGCUUUUUCGUUGUUUUGCAACUUGGGUGAGCUUUUGUGUUGUGCCUCUGUGGUGGCUGUCAACAAGCCUACUGUUCAAAUUGAGCAAUGCCUAUUUUGGGAGAGCAACGUGAACCGUUUUAAUGAAACCAUCGCCACCUUCAUUUUACUCUGGUAUAAUUAUGCUUGCUUCUCCAGCUGACGGGUCCAAUUGCUACCCAGCUCUGGUACUAAAGGAUGAAAUUCCCAUUCCCAAGUGCAUUUCUGUGUCUACUUAGUUGGGAGAAGGAUUAGGGAGACUGCCUAAUUUUUUGCUUUGGAACAGGAGAGGAAAGAGACACAGGGGUCUUUCCUCUUUCCCUAUGCAGAACACUCUGCCUCUCAGAGGUGGCUCAUUUGUUUCCCCACUUAAUGACAAGGUUUAAAAAGUCUUUGUUCCCUCUCAUCUCUAUUCUCAGUUGCCAAGAUUCUCAGGGAGUUUGGGGACACUGGCUGCUGGCAGGCUUUCUUGGGAGAAAUGGUGUUCACUUACGGGUUUGUUUUUUAACUAUUUUUCAUGAAUGAAUCCACCAACUUUGCAAAAUUACAUGGUAUCUGACCCUCAACUCUGCAUGAGACAGGUAAGCCAGGUAUUCAUUGCCAUCGAUCAUUCAAGUUGGAGUUUAACAGCACUAAUUAGUGUUCAAAUCUGUUGCACACUUCAAGGACCCAAGGUGUGUUGGAAAUGAACUAAUGCUCAGGUCAGGACUUCUGCUUCUGGAUCCCCUAUGAUGUCCUGGUGAAAGUCACUGAGAUGGAUGUAAGGUUUGAUCUCCACCUUACUUGCUAGCCCUGACGGACAACUACAUCUUUACAGACCUGUCAUCAGCCUGGUCUCUUUUGAUUAAACCAGGAUAGUAAUGGUCUCUAUGUGUAUGAUGAUUUUCAGAUCCCAUGCUCUAAUGUUUGGAGGUGUAGUCACCUCCUCCGCAGAGGUGAGCUCACAUCUUCUUAAGUUGGGGUCAUGAUGACCGUCAUAACUGAAUGUGGGGGUCCUGUAAAUGUCGGCAAUACUAAAUGGUUUUAGAAUGUACACUCACCAAAUUAAUUCACACUUAGAUGUGCAAUACAUCUAAGGUGUUUCUGGCAAUAUAUGGCUGUGAGGGAUCUUGGAGCUUCCCUGCAGACUUUGUUCUGAACAUGCAGUGUGUGCCCUUUGCACUGUACGCACACUCAUGCCAUGCACACCAGUCCACAUUGCCUGAAACCUCAGCUCAGAAUAGAGACUGUAGGCUGUUGUGAACUGUAGCGUUUCUUCUACAAAGUUUUUGGCUCAUCUAGAAGCCUGAUUGUUUAAUUAAAGAAAACAAGGACUUUUAAUACUUUUCAGGAGCUAUUCCACAGUGUACAGAGAUCAAAUUAUGACGUCUUUUGAUUAUAUUAUGUUAGGAUAUUUGGGUUUUUUAUUUUUAAUUGCUGUUUGUUGACUCACAAGUUAAGAGCAUUUCUUGCUCUUGUAGAAGAACAGGAACAACUUCCAGUACCCACAUAGUGGCUUACAGCCAUCCAUCACCCCGGUUCCAGGGAAUCCCACUCGCAUUCCUAACCUUGUGGUGGGUGGAAGCAGGAUUGCAUGGGGCACAUAUAUGUAUAUACAAGUAAGACACUCAUACAUAAAAGAUAAAAUGACUAAAUCUAAAAGACAUUCAAAAAUUGCUCUUUGAGUUGCAGACUUGAGUUUCAUCACAAACCAUUUAAUGCAUUUUGGCUUGUAAUCAGGACCUAAUUCCCCACAAUUUCUUUAAUGGCCCUAAACAUACUUCUGUCAUCUUGUAUUAUGUAUUUAUGCCAAGGAGUAUUCUUAGCAUUGAUGAUUA
Molecule: non-coding RNA, 4466 nt
Organism: Myodes glareolus (Bank vole)
Lineage: Eukaryota; Metazoa; Chordata; Mammalia; Rodentia; Cricetidae
Source: RefSeq, a predicted model, not a curated record